GUACUCGCUUCAGCAGCACGUAUACUAAAAAACUGGAACAAUACAGAGAUUAGCAUGGCCCCUGUGCAAGGAUGACACGCAAAUUUGUGAAGCGUUCCAUAAAAAU
Small nuclear RNA from Cebus imitator (Panamanian white-faced capuchin), 106 nucleotides. NCBI's taxonomy places the organism in Eukaryota, Metazoa, Chordata, Mammalia, Primates, Cebidae. The record is from Ensembl.